CAUGCAAGUCGAACGGAACUGUUUUGAAAGAUUUCUUCGGAAUGAAUUUGAUUUAGUUUAGUGGCGGACGGGUGAGUAACGCGUGAGUAACCUGCCUUCAAGAGGGGGAUAACAUUCUGAAAAGAAUGCUAAUACCGCAUGACAUAUCGGAACCACAUGGUUCUGAUAUCAAAGAUUUUAUCGCUUGAAGAUGGACUCGCGUCCGAUUAGUUAGUUGGUGAGGUAACGGCUCACCAAGACCGCGAUCGGUAGCCGGACUGAGAGGUUGAACGGCCACAUUGGGACUGAGACACGGCCCAGACUCCUACGGGAGGCAGCAGUGGGGGAUAUUGCGCAAUGGGGGCAACCCUGACGCAGCAACGCCGCGUGAAGGAUGAAGGUUUUCGGAUUGUAAACUUCUUUUAUUAAGGACGAAAAAUGACGGUACUUAAUGAAUAAGCUCCGGCUAACUACGUGCCAGCAGCCGCGGUAAUACGUAGGGAGCAAGCGUUGUCCGGAUUUACUGGGUGUAAAGGGUGCGUAGGCGGCUUUGCAAGUCAGAUGUGAAAUCUAUGGGCUCAACCCAUAAACUGCAUUUGAAACUGUAGAGCUUGAGUGAAGUAGAGGCAGGCGGAAUUCCCCGUGUAGCGGUGAAAUGCGUAGAGAUGGGGAGGAACACCAGUGGCGAAGGCGGCCUGCUGGGCUUUAACUGACGCUGAGGCACGAAAGCGUGGGUAGCAAACAGGAUUAGAUACCCUGGUAGUCCACGCUGUAAACGAUGAUUACUAGGUAUGGGGGGUCUGACCCCUUCCGUGCCGGAGUUAACACAAUAAGUAAUCCACCUGGGGAGUACGGCCGCAAGGUUGAAACUCAAAUGAAUUGACGG
Molecule: ribosomal RNA, 865 nt
Filed under: uncultured bacterium
Lineage: Bacteria
Description: bacterial SSU rRNA
Rfam family: Bacterial small subunit ribosomal RNA
Source: RNAcentral